GCGCCUUCUAGCCAUGAUGGAGGCGCGGCACACAGCUCAGUAGCACGUGGCUAACCUGCCCUUGGGACGGAAGCACCCCCGGGAAACUGGGGCUAAUUUCUGAUAGGUGAAGGCUUCUGGAAUGGACUUUCGCCUAAAGGACGCUUAGAUCAUGCUUCUAGGCGUUGCCCAAGGAUGGGGCCGCGGCCGAUCAGGUUGUUGGUGAGGUAAUGGCUCACCAAGCCUAUAACCGGUGCGGGCCGUGAGAGCGGGAGCCCGGAGAUGGGCACUGAGACAAGGGCCCAGGCCCUACGGGGCGCAACAGGCGCGAAAACUUCGCAAUAAGCGAAAGCUUGACGGGGCUAUCCCGAGUGCCAUCCGCUGAGGAUGGCUUUUCUCUAGUAUAGAUAGCUGGGGGAAUAAGGAGAGGGCAAGUCUGGUGUCAGCCGCCGCGGUAAUACCAGCUCUCCGAGUGGUGUGGACGAUUAUUGGGCCUAAAGCAUCCGUAGCCGGCUGAGCAAGUCCCCUGUUAAACCCACCGAUUUAAUCGUUGGUCUGCGGGGGAUACUGCUCGGCUAGGGGACGAGAGAGGCAGACGGUAUUCCCGGGGUAGGGGUGAAAUCCUAUAAUCCCGAGAAGACCACCAGUGGCGAAGGCUGUCUGCUAGAACGCGCCCGACGGUGAGGGAUGAAAGCUGGGGGAGCGAACCGGAUUAGAUACCCGGGUAGUCCCAGCUGUAAACGAUGCAGACUAGGUGUUUGGACGGCCACGUGCCGUUCUAGUGCCGCAGGGAAGCUGUUAAGUCUGCCGCCUGGGGGAGUACGAUCGCAAGAUUGAAAC
Molecule: ribosomal RNA, 819 nt
Filed under: uncultured crenarchaeote
Lineage: Archaea; Thermoproteati; Thermoproteota
Description: bacterial SSU rRNA
Rfam family: Archaeal small subunit ribosomal RNA
Source: RNAcentral